CUAUUUCUCAAUGUUACUUUCAGGGUUCAUUUUAUGGCAGAUUAAGACACUUCCUGGAUGUGAUCGACCCUCGCACGCUCUUUGUAUCAGAGAAACGUUUAAAUGAAUGUAUGAAUCUCUUGGAUCAGUUCAAAAAAGGAUCUCUGCCUCCAGGUGUGACAAAUGUGCAGCUUUGGGAGGCACAGAAGAUUAAACAGGUGAGUGUGAACAGCGU
Molecule: long non-coding RNA, 214 nt
Organism: Sinocyclocheilus rhinocerous
Lineage: Eukaryota; Metazoa; Chordata; Actinopteri; Cypriniformes; Cyprinidae
Exons: 3
Source: RefSeq, a predicted model, not a curated record